This is a long non-coding RNA of Melitaea cinxia (Glanville fritillary), 200 nucleotides long. RefSeq lists it as uncharacterized. The record is from RefSeq and is a predicted model, not a curated record. Lineage: Eukaryota; Metazoa; Arthropoda; Insecta; Lepidoptera; Nymphalidae. The transcript is spliced from 2 exons.
GCGUGGAUGUAAAAGAGAUUUAGCAUCUGAUCGCUAAAAUAGAAUGAAUUACUGAAAAACAAUUUGCGUCAAUCAUCUUUAUUCAAAGUACCAAACUACCAAAGAAUAACGUAUUGAGGGAAAAUGGGUAAAAGCUUUAUCACAACAAUUGACUCCAAAUCAGUUUUGUGUGAGAAGCACUUUCGCGAAGAAGAUAUUAA